Molecule: long non-coding RNA, 1109 nt
Organism: Herpailurus yagouaroundi (jaguarundi)
Lineage: Eukaryota; Metazoa; Chordata; Mammalia; Carnivora; Felidae
Exons: 3
Source: RefSeq, a predicted model, not a curated record
UAUCCCCAGAGCAAGACUGUGCUGUCCUGGAGUAGAUGCAAGAAGGAAGCAUCUCGUACACCGAGUGCGGCAGGUGCAAGUGUUUGAGGCUGUCGGUUGCUCUUCCUGACACCUGCAGAGUCCAUCGCUGCAAUUCAGAGCCAGGUGCUUGAAAAACCGAGCCGGGCCUUGCUGAGGACGGGCCGCGUGUUUACGCCCAGAGCACCCACUCUGCGCCAAGCCCUGUGUCACAAGAUUCCAUGUGCUCCAGCAGCAACAAAGAGGAGACCCUAGCGGAUGGAUGAGCCAGCACUUUGAAGAGCUGGGUCCCGAUGCCAACAAUAAGAGGCCCUAGAAGAUGACUGAGGACGCUGGUAGAGUACCUGUUCAGCACCGUCUUACUUGAUGUGUGGCUUCAGUUUGCCCAGAUAUAAAGUGGGGUAAGUACCUCUGCUCUGCCUGCGCCCCAAGGUGGUUGUAAGAAUCCAGAAUGUGAAAGUGUUGUGCAAAUUGCCAAUUCUGGGGAACACGGAGAUGACAGCCCACUUCUCUGUCCGGGAUGCUGCCGGAAGUGUGGUCAGUGGUCACAUGGCCUCCAGAUCUCAGCCCCUGUAGCCGGGAUCGGCUGCAGAUAGCCACCUCGCCCGAGGUCGUGCCCUCCCCAGGGCAGCCUGCAGCCAGGGGAUGAGACAGCAGGGGGCACAAAGACCCAGCCAUUUGGGUCCACAAGGGACACUGUUGGGCACUGGUUGGGCCUGUACCAUCAGACCUGCAUCGAGGUCUCUCUCUGCCCCCUACCUCCUCCCCCCCUCUUUCCUCUCACACGUGUUGACCCCUCGUAACACCUUGCACCCCAAACUUCACCCCCAACUGCUUUCGGGGAACCCCGCCUGCAAAAACUAUGUAAGAAGGUUGUCUUGCUAACACCACUAUCCUCAUUACACAGAGAAGGCAGCCCCUGGGGCCCAAACCACCCACCCCUGAAAAACAGGCCCUUUAACGGUGGCUCAGAUUCCCAGAAAUCCGGAAAUACAGUUCAGCUGGGAGGGAGGCUGUCCAAGUUGAGUUUUGUUAGAGUUGCAGGUGAAGCUACAAUGCGGGAUAGAAGGUGUGUGGAGCUACAAAGCUAA